CAGCAGUAGCCGCGGUAAUACGUAGGUGGCAAGCGUUGUCCGGAAUUAUUGGGCGUAAAGGGCUCGCAGGCGGUUUCUUAAGUCUGAUGUGAGAGCCCCCGGCUCAACCGGGGAGGGUCAUUGGAAACUGGGAAACUUGAGUGCAGAAGAGGAGAGUGGAAUUCCACGUGUAGCGGUGAAAUGCGUAGAGAUGUGGAGGAACACCAGUGGCGAAGGCGACUCUCUGGUCUGUAACUGACGCUGAGGAGCGAAAGCGUGGGGAGCGAACAGGAUUAGAGACCCCGGUAGUCCCUGUCUCUUAUAC
This 304-nucleotide ribosomal RNA is filed under the name uncultured bacterium. RNAcentral's name for it is "partial 16S ribosomal RNA". It matches the Rfam family "Bacterial small subunit ribosomal RNA", at positions 506 to 807 of the family's 1533-position model. The record is from RNAcentral.